CCAAUAGCGUAUAUUAAAGUUGUUGCAGUUAAAAAGCUCGUAGUUGAAUUUCGGGAUCAGUACGCUGGUCGUGCCUCUGGUAUGUACUGGUGUCACUGAUUCCUCCCUUCUGACGAACCAUUAUGCCAUUCACCUGGUGUGGUGGGAAAUCAGGACUGUUACUUUGAAAAAAUUAGAGUGUUUAAAGCAGGCUCACGCUUGAAUACAUUAGCAUGGAAUAAUGAAAUAGGACGUUGAUCCUAUUUUGUUGGUUUCUAGGAUUGACGUAAUGAUUAAUAGGGAUAGUUGGGGGCAUUAGUAUUCAAUUGUCAGAGGUGAAAUUCUUGGAUUUAUUGAAGACUAACUACUGCGAAAGCAUUUGCCAAGGAUGUUUUCAUUAAUCAAGAACGAAAGUUAGGGGAUCGAAGACGAUCAGAUACCGUCGUAGUCUUAACCAUAAACUAUGCCGACUAGGGAUCGGAUGAUGUUAAUUUUUUUAAUGACUCAUUCGGCGCCUUACG
Molecule: ribosomal RNA, 500 nt
Filed under: uncultured Glomeromycotina
Lineage: Eukaryota; Fungi; Glomeromycota
Description: partial small subunit ribosomal RNA
Rfam family: Eukaryotic small subunit ribosomal RNA
Source: RNAcentral